Molecule: long non-coding RNA, 527 nt
Filed under: Ananas comosus (pineapple)
Lineage: Eukaryota; Viridiplantae; Streptophyta; Magnoliopsida; Poales; Bromeliaceae
Description: long non-coding RNA (ACOM_LNC012459)
Source: RNAcentral
GUGUUUCGACGUCGCGGUUAGUAUCAUAAUAUUAUUAUUUUUUGUUUAGACUCUUUUGAUAAAUUUUUAUAGAAAUUGAGAGUUUGAAACUGAUUUUUUAUACAUUUUAGGAGAUGAUUUCGUGGUUGUCGUUUAGACUAAGAUUGUUGUAGCAUAUUAUCUGACUAUAUAUUUCGACUGUUAUUGUGCUUCUUUGAUUAUUGCAUUUGACAACAAUCUGCAUGCUAUAUUGAAUUUGACGGUGAUACUAUACUCAGUUGAGAUAACGUCCUGUGAGUGCCACUCUAGAAGUUGGGCUAUGAGAUAUUAUUAUGUCAUGGGUCAGACACUAGUCUAUGUGGUAACAAACACUAUAGGUGGGUGCUGGACACGAGAUAGGGCAGAUAGGGCAGACUAGACCUGAUUGUUACUAUGAUUGGGUCAUAUUACUAUAUUUCAUUCAGUAACUAAUUGAUGCAUGACAUAUAUGAAUUGCAGAUUUCAGUUAUAUUUUAGAGGUAUGAUAGUAGUAGUUACAUUCAGCAAUU